Molecule: unclassified non-coding RNA, 381 nt
Filed under: fungal sp.
Lineage: Eukaryota; Fungi
Description: partial internal transcribed spacer region
Rfam family: Eukaryotic small subunit ribosomal RNA (bases 1-46)
Source: RNAcentral
AAGUCGUAACAAGGUUUCCGUAGGUGAACCUGCGGAAGGAUCAUUAACGAAUUUGUUGUUAUUGUUGUGUGGGGGGGGUAAGUGGUGUGGUUUGAAUGGUUCGCCGUUCUUCCACCAACCACUCUUCGCCGCCAACAUAACACUAUAUAAGCACACAAAGGCAUGCCUUUGUGCGGUCGGUUUGGUUUCCAUGCUGGCCAGAUGAUUAUGAUUACGUGGAGGUUGUGAUUGCGCAGCGAAAGCAUGCAAAGUCCAACACCACAUUAACUACAUAAAAUCGGAAGUUUAUUUAGUUUGGCUAAUGUUUUGCUUGAUUUCAAGGGUAAAAGCUUGAAUCAAGAAUAAAAAGUACAACUUUUAACAAUGGAUCUCUUGGCUCUU